Long non-coding RNA from Oncorhynchus tshawytscha (Chinook salmon), 386 nucleotides. Lineage: Eukaryota; Metazoa; Chordata; Actinopteri; Salmoniformes; Salmonidae. The record is from Ensembl.
CUGGGCCCAUAGGACAGGGGAGUAAGAAGGGAGUAGUGUAGCCUAGACAGGGGAGUAGGGAGGACAUAGUGUAGCCUAGGCCCAUAGGACAGGGGAGUAGGAAGGGAGUAGUGUAGCCUGGGCCCAUAAGACAGGGGAGGUAGUGGUGUAGCCUGGGCCCAUAAGACCGGGGAGGGAGUGGUGUAGCCUGGGCCCAUAAGACAGGGGAGGUAGUGGUGUAGCCUGGGCCCAUAAGAAAGGGGAGGGAGUGGUGUAGCCUGGGCCCAUAAGACAGGGGAGGGAGUUGUGUAGCCUGGGCCCAUAAGACAGGGGAGAGAGUGGUGUAGCCUGGUCCCAUACGAUAGGAGAGGGAGUGGUGUGGCCUGGGCUCAUAAGACAGGGGAGGG